CAGCUUACUGAGCCGACACUGACGCUGAGGCACGAAAGGCGUGGGGAUCGAACAGGAUUAGAUACCCUGGUAGUCCACGCCGUAAACGAUGAUUACUCGCUGUUGGCGAUACACUGUCAGCGGCUAAGCAAAAGCAAUAAGUAAUCCACCUGGGGAGUACGGCCGCAAGGUUGAAACUCAAAGGAAUUGACGGGGGCCCGCACAAGCGGAGGAACAUGUGGUUUAAUUCGAUGAUACGCGAGGAACCUUACCUGGGCUUAAAUGUAGAGUGCAUUUUCUAGAGAUAGGAAUUCCCUUCGGGGCUUUCUGCAAGGUGCUGCAUGGUUGUCGUCAGCUCGUGCCGUGAGGUGUCGGGUUAAGUCCCAUAACGAGCGCAACCCUUAUCGUUAGUUGCCAUCUGGUAAAGCAGGGGACUCUAGCGAAACUGCCACCGUAAGGUGAGAGGAAGGUGGGGAUGACGUCAAAUCAGCACGGCCCUUAUGUCCAGGGCUACACACGUGUUACAAUGGUCGGUACAGAGGGCAGCUACCUGGUGACAGGAUGCUAAUCUCGAAAACCGAUCUCAGUUCGGAUCGAAGUCUGCAACUCGACUUCGUGAAGCUGGAUUCGCUAGUAAUCGCGCAUUCAGCCAUGGCGCGGGAAUACGUCCCG
Molecule: ribosomal RNA, 651 nt
Filed under: uncultured bacterium
Lineage: Bacteria
Description: bacterial SSU rRNA
Rfam family: Bacterial small subunit ribosomal RNA
Source: RNAcentral